Long non-coding RNA from Elgaria multicarinata webbii, 2294 nucleotides. RefSeq lists it as uncharacterized. The record is from RefSeq and is a predicted model, not a curated record. The transcript is spliced from 2 exons. Lineage: Eukaryota; Metazoa; Chordata; Lepidosauria; Squamata; Anguidae.
CCCCCCGGGAGCCCGGCUCCUCCUGGAGAGGCAGGGGAGCCUGGGGACCCCUCUUUGGCAGGUCGGCCUUGCGAUCGUCCCUCCCCCGGGCGGGCGGGCAGUGCUAUGCGGUGUCUCCCCGUCCCUCCCCCCGGGCGGGCGGGCGAUCUGCGCUGUCUCUCCCUCUCUCCCCCCGGCAGGCCGUGCGAGCGCGGCGGGGCGGGCACUUACCGCUCCGGCAGAUGGAGAAGCUUCGCCGUCGUCCUCCGGUGACGGCGGCCCGAUCUUGCUGCAGUGAUGCAUGAAUAGACUCCAAAUGGAGCCUGUGUUUGAUGCUAACUUGAAGAAGAAAAGGAAGGCAGACAAUAAGCCAUGCUGUUUCAUUUGUAGUUCUCAAUCAUCUGAGGGAUGUGUUUCAUAGCCUUCAAAUGACAGUUCUGAGAAAAUUAUUGAGUGCCUUAUGAAGCAAGCAAAAUACAGCGAAGAAAACAGUGACAGAAUUAUGAAAAAAAUUGGCAUUGACUUUAAUGUUGAGACACUGAAACACAACAAUGUGAAGUGGCAUCGAUCGUGUUACCAAUCUGUUACCCACAAAAUAUUAAUUGAAAGACUUCAGAAAAGGUACGGGUUUCCACAGUCAACGCCCUCUACAGAGUGCAUUCAACCUCAGGGAUAUUCAAUCUCUGCACAGAGUGCCGAGUAUACUCGGUCACAAACUGUAGCUUAUGAAAAGGACAAGUGCUUUUUUUGUGAUCAGCCAGCCCCAAGGAAAGGAAAACUAAGGAAGGUUUCAACCGACAAAGCUGGUAGAAACUUAUGUCAAGCUAUAGAAUUUAGAAAUGAUGAUAAACUUAGAGUAAGGUUAAGUGAAGCAAUAAAUAUGAAGGAUGCACACGCAAUUGAUGUUAUGUAUCAUCGAAAAUGUUGGACCAAAUAUGUCACAAAUGUUCUUCGAUCUCAAGAGCAUAGAUUCAAUGAGGAACAUUCCAAGAAGGGAAGAUGUGUUUCAUCAAUGGCAGCAGAAGUUGAAUUCAUCAAUAUUCUUGAAGAGAAACUGUCAGCGGAGCAAGUUUUGGGAAUGGACGUCCUUGAAGAAACAUAUAAGUCUAUUUGUUCUUCAAAUAAUGUGCAUGAAUCAGCUAAUGUCACGUAAGCAAUUAAAGAUAUUUAUUGAGACAGAGCUAUCAGAUAAGGAAGUUGAAUUUUCUCGACUCAGACAGCAUAACAAACCAGAGUUUCAGUGAAGUGUACAAGGGAAAAACUGAUAGCAGAGGCUGAAAGUUACGGUGAUCAAAAGAUGAGAGAACUGAAUGUUUUAUUUGAGUCUGCAGACAUCAGAAAUCUUGUAUUGCAAUCAAAGCUGUGGACAUUUGAUGGUUCUGUACCACACAAUCGCACUGAUAUUAUUCCAAAUGAACUUAACAGCUUCUUUCAGUGGUGCAUUUGGGGAAAAAGAGACAUUUCAUCAGAGAAGAAGGAAAAACAUGAAGAAGUGGAAAGGCAAGCUUGUCACAUCACAAAUUCUGAUGUCAAAUUGUCUCUCUUGUAGGCAAGUAGAAAACAAGCAGUCUACUCAGUUUUCAUGUUUGUUUCCACAAGAACACCAGUAUGCAACAAAUUAGGUAAGGGUUACGUUGAAGCAGCAAUUUACUGGGGCAACAAUGAUGAACACUGCCAAGCGUUCGAAUAACAUUCUGUUUAGUGAAGCAGGCAUGGUCAGACCAAACUAAACAAAUCAGAAGAACUUAAUGACCUAUGUAAAUUUAUUGCAUGGCUCUUGAAUCCUGCUAUUAAGGAUGUUGGCAAAUGCUGUGAUGUUCCGCAGAUCAUAACAUCGGCAUCACUGAUGCCUUCAUUAAUCACUAGUAAGCAAACAUCUUUUCAGGCUCAAAAUAAGCAAUUUUUAAGAACUAGAAAUCUCACUGGGUGUUUUAUUUUGAGAGAAACAUUAAUUGAUAAUAGAUAUCUCUAUUUAGAGGCUGAAAACAGCUUCCUGAAAUUUCUGUUUAAAAGAAAAUUAGUUAUAAUUACAACUUAGUGACUGCUACUUUGUAUUUUUCAAAUUACUCUCAAAUUUUGAUGAGAGUCAUCUCAGUCUAUUAUACUCUCCACCUUUUUAAGGUAUCAAAAUAGCCAUUAGAAUCCUACUAUUAUGGCCAUGCUACCUUUUUUUCUCAAAAUUAGCACAAGCUGAAAGCUUUUUACUAACCUAUUGUAGGUAUUCAGUCUACUUUGUAUUGAUAUAAUUGCACAUAAAUAUGUUCAUGUGGUCUUGUUUUUUUACCAAAAUUAAUAAAAUUUUAUUUUCAGACUUA